UACGUAGGUGGCAAGCGUUGUCCGGAUUUACUGGGCGUAAAGCGCGCGUAGGCGGGUUGGUAAGUCCGCUGUGAAAGCCCGGAGCUCAACUCCGGAGGGUCGGUGGAUACUGCCAGUCUUGAAGGUGCUAGGGGGAGAUGGAAUUACCGGUGUAGCGGUGAAAUGCGUAGAUAUCGGUAGGAACACCAGUGGCGAAGGCGGUCUCCUGGGGCAUUCUUGACGCUGAGGCGCGAAAGCUGGGGGAGCGAACGGG
RNAcentral lists this ribosomal RNA (253 nucleotides) under uncultured bacterium. Its description in RNAcentral is "partial 16S ribosomal RNA". It matches the Rfam family "Bacterial small subunit ribosomal RNA", at positions 524 to 776 of the family's 1533-position model. The record is from RNAcentral.